RNAcentral lists this unclassified non-coding RNA (337 nucleotides) under soil metagenome. Its description in RNAcentral is "partial contains 5.8S ribosomal RNA, internal transcribed spacer 2, and large subunit ribosomal RNA". The stretch from base 1 to 120 matches the Rfam family "5.8S ribosomal RNA", at positions 35 to 154 of the family's 154-position model. The record is from RNAcentral.
GAUGAAGAACGCUGCGAAAUGCGAUAAGUAAUGUGAAUUGCAGAAUUCAGUGAAUCAUCGAAUCUUUGAACGCACAUUGCGCCCCUUGGUAUUCCAUGGGGCAUGCCUGUUCGAGCGUCAUUUGUACCCUCAAGCUUUGCUUGGUGUUGGGUGUUUGUCUCGUGUUACGCGUAGACUCGCCUUAAAGCGAUUGGCAGCCGGCAUAUUGGCCUUGGAGCGCAGCACAUUUUGCGCUUCUAGUCAUGAAUGUUGGCGUCCAUUAAGCCUAUACAUUUGCUCUUGACCUCGGAUCAGGUAGGGAUACCCGCUGAACUUAAGCAUAUCAAUAAGCGGAGGA